Molecule: ribosomal RNA, 467 nt
Filed under: uncultured bacterium
Lineage: Bacteria
Description: partial 16S ribosomal RNA
Rfam family: Bacterial small subunit ribosomal RNA
Source: RNAcentral
ACGAACGCUGGCGGCGUGCUUAACACAUGCCAGUCGAACGGAAAGGCCCUGCUUUUGUGGGGUGCUCGAGUGGCGAACGGGUGAGUAACACGUGAGUAACCUGCCCUUGACUUUGGGAUAACUUCAGGAAACUGGGGCUAAUACCGGAUAGGAGCUCCUGCUGCAUGGUGGGGGUUGGAAAGUUUCGGCGGUUGGGGAUGGACGCGCGGCUUAUCAGCUUGUUGGUGGGGUAGUGGCAUACCAAGGCUUUGACGGGUAGCCGGCCUGAGAGGGUGACCGGCCACAUUGGGACUGAGAUACGGCCCAGACUCCUACGGGAGGCAGCAGUGGGGAAUAUUGCACAAUGGGCGGAAGCCUGAUGCAGCAACGCCGCGUGCGGGAUGACGGCCUUCGGGUUGUAAACCGCUUUCGCCUGUGACGAAGCGUGAGUGACGGUAAUGGGUAAAGAAGCACCGGCUAACUACGUG